Molecule: long non-coding RNA, 1070 nt
Organism: Thunnus maccoyii (southern bluefin tuna)
Lineage: Eukaryota; Metazoa; Chordata; Actinopteri; Scombriformes; Scombridae
Exons: 3
Source: RefSeq, a predicted model, not a curated record
AACAUGUUUGAUUGACAGCAGCUGGGGGGGCGUGUCGGUGUCUGUGUUUGAUUGACAGCAGCUGGCGAGUUACUGGUGUUACAAUGUAUGAACGGAGAGAAAGUAAAUAAACUGCAGUAGCUGUAAGUCAUGGACAGACAGCGUGUUGCUAACAGGGAUUUCGAAGGACAAAACCAGGAUCUAACAGGUCUGAAGUGACAUCUGCAGGUUGCAGAGAGUGUAUGGUGGCCAGCAGGGACAAAAGUGUGAGAAGGCCAAAAGGAGUGAGUUUACCUGCCCGAGGCGUUCAGGAGACGUCUGAGGUCUGCAGGCGCUGAAGUUACAGGGAGGCGGAGGUCAGGUUCGGGGUGUAGUCGGUUCUGACUUCUCUGUGACUCACAGCGACACACUGAUGUGGUUUCUGGGUGAUUCUCUGCAGGGAGGAAGAUGAUGCUCUGACAGUCUUCUGCCUCAUGUGGAAAAUGUGAGGUGGUAAUUAAUUAUGUAACAAAAACACAACUCAGACACUGCUUAUUGUUGCCUCGGGUUAGAAAGACACUCCUCAAAUAUAAAGACAAAGAUUCUUUUUAUUCUGCUUAUUUUCAUUUUCAUUUUAUUUAACAAUUUACACAAAUAUCCUGGCCAUUUUCAGAGUAAUUUGCAACUAUUUAAUGGUCAAUUUUUAGGACAUUUUACAGAUGUGAGAGAGGAUAAAAUGAUAUAUAAGCAUAUUAGAUUUUUUCAUUAAUUUCCCAAACAUAGCUGCUGUGUAACUGUUAAUUCUUAUUAUGCAGUUUGGUAGAACAUGUACUAAUAUUUAGUUUGACACAAAACACCAAAAACACGACAUACUGAAGAGUAUUUUCUGCCAGUUAAAGAAGUGUUAAGAGUCUUAAUAUAUAUAAAAAAAAUAAAGCUUAACUUUUUUGUUUUUCUUAUAAUUUGUACCUGCAAAUUACAUUUCCAGAAAAUUAGUGUAACAUUAAAGGACCUGUAAAGUAAAGCUGGAUAGUAGACAUUAAUAAACACUGCUGAGGGUAUUUUUCAUGUGUUUCAGCCUAAAGACAAUAUAAGAUUUGAAAUUAUAAAGU